This 265-nucleotide ribosomal RNA is filed under the name uncultured prokaryote. RNAcentral describes it as "partial 16S ribosomal RNA". It matches the Rfam family "Bacterial small subunit ribosomal RNA", at positions 524 to 788 of the family's 1533-position model. The record is from RNAcentral.
UACGGAGGGUGCGAGCGUUAAUCGGAAUUACUGGGCGUAAAGCGUGCGCAGGCGGUUUGCUAAGACAGGUGUGAAAUCCCCGGGCUUAACCUGGGAACUGCGCUUGUGACUGGCAGGCUAGAGUACGGCAGAGGGGGGUGGAAUUCCUGGUGUAGCAGUGAAAUGCGUAGAGAUCAGGAGGAACAUCCGUGGCGAAGGCGGCCACCUGGACCAGUACUGACACUGAGGCACGAAAGCGUGGGGAGCAAACAGGAUUAGAUACCCU